UACGGGAGGCAGCAGUGGGGAAUAUUGGACAAUGGGCGAAAGCCUGAUCCAGCCAUGCCGCGUGUGUGAAGAAGGUCUUCGGAUUGUAAAGCACUUUAAGUUGGGAGGAAGGGCAGUAAGAUAAUACCUUGCUGNUUGACGUACCGACAGAUAGC
RNAcentral lists this ribosomal RNA (155 nucleotides) under uncultured Pseudomonas sp. RNAcentral describes it as "partial 16S ribosomal RNA". It matches the Rfam family "Bacterial small subunit ribosomal RNA", at positions 340 to 491 of the family's 1533-position model. The record is from RNAcentral. Lineage: Bacteria; Pseudomonadati; Pseudomonadota; Gammaproteobacteria; Pseudomonadales; Pseudomonadaceae.